Long non-coding RNA from Beta vulgaris subsp. vulgaris (sugar beet), 273 nucleotides. RefSeq lists it as uncharacterized. The record is from RefSeq and is a predicted model, not a curated record. The transcript has 3 exons. NCBI's taxonomy places the organism in Eukaryota, Viridiplantae, Streptophyta, Magnoliopsida, Caryophyllales, Amaranthaceae.
CUCCUCCCAGAUCUCCAGUCACUCGAAGAGUCGAAAUCGAACACCGAGCAGUCUCAAACCGCCGCCAACCGCCGACGAACUAGAGACGCCGACCGCCGACACCUUCAAUUCGAAGUUCGAAGUUCGACUUCGGCACUUCGCCGACCCAGUUUUGAGUUUUCCUCCAUUAAUUCGAACUAAAAAGAGACGAGCAGAAGCAGCUCGCAUUCGGGAGAAAUAUCCUGAUAGAAUUCCUGUGAUUGUAGAGAAGGCUGAAAAAGAGAGACAUUCUGG